This is a long non-coding RNA of Felis catus (domestic cat), 470 nucleotides long. RefSeq lists it as uncharacterized. The transcript is spliced from 2 exons. Lineage: Eukaryota; Metazoa; Chordata; Mammalia; Carnivora; Felidae. The record is from RefSeq and is a predicted model, not a curated record.
GGUAUGUGUGUGUGUGUGUGUGUGUGUGUGUGUGUGUGUGUGUGGUUUGUCCUGAAACUGCAUUGGAUCCCUAGCUCCUGGCCUUCCCUUCACCUGUGUGCUGGAUCCGAGAUUCCACCCCGGCUCCAGGGCUGAGGAAGGCACUCAGAAACCCCAGGGACAGCCUGAGAUGGCUGAGCCCUGGAGUUGCCUAGGACUGCCAGGCACCAGAGUCCCGGCCCCAGAAUCUCCAAAGGCCCCCGCUCCCAGUGUGGAAAGGGGCCUCCUGAUGCCUGAGUGCCCCAGCAUGGCACCCACCUACUCAGCACAAAGGACACCAGAGGAAACGCCCCCAGGUCCCUGCAUCCAGGGGGAGGAGCUAGUCGGAUCACCAUCCACAUCUCCUUGUGCCCAUUUCCUGCUUUUGCUUCUAUGCAAUAUAAAGAUUUAAAAAUAAAAUAAAAUACAAUAAAUUUAUAUUUUUAGUUUAA